Molecule: ribosomal RNA, 460 nt
Filed under: uncultured bacterium
Lineage: Bacteria
Description: partial 16S ribosomal RNA
Rfam family: Bacterial small subunit ribosomal RNA
Source: RNAcentral
CCUACGGGUGGCAGCAGUGAGGAAUAUUGGUCAAUGGGCUUACGCCUGAACCAGCCAAGUCGCGUGAGGGAAGACUGCCCUAUGUGUUGUAAACCUCUUUUGUCAGGGAGCAAUUGGCGCUCCGUGUAGCGUUAUCGAUAGUACCUGAAGAAAAAGCAUCGGCUAACUCCGUGCCAGCAGCCGCGGUAAUACGGAGGAUGCGAGCGUUAUUCGGAUUUAUUUGGUUUAAAGGGUGCGUAGGCGGAAUGCCAAGUCAGCGGUGAAAUCGCGGGGCUGAACCUCGCUCCGCCGUUGAAUCUGGCGUUCGUGGGUGGGCGAGAGGGAUGCGGAAGGCGUGGGGUAGCAGUGAAAUGCAUAGAUAUCACGCAGAACUACGAUUGCGAAGGGAGAAGACCGGCGCCCAACUGACGCUGAAGCACGAAAGCGUGGGUAUCGAACAGGAUUAGAUACCCGAGUAGUC